This 23-nucleotide ribosomal RNA is filed under the name Knoxdaviesia wingfieldii. RNAcentral describes it as "partial 18S ribosomal RNA". Lineage: Eukaryota; Fungi; Ascomycota; Sordariomycetes; Microascales; Gondwanamycetaceae. The record is from RNAcentral.
GUCUCCGUUGGUGAACCAGCGGA